Molecule: ribosomal RNA, 432 nt
Filed under: uncultured bacterium
Lineage: Bacteria
Description: partial 16S ribosomal RNA
Rfam family: Bacterial small subunit ribosomal RNA
Source: RNAcentral
ACGAACGCUGGCGGCAUGCCUAACACAUGCAAGUCGCACGAGACCUUCGGGUCUAGUGGCGCACGGGUGCGUAACGCGUGGGAACCUGCCCUUAGGUUCGGAAUAACUCCCCGAAAGGGGUGCUAAUACCGGAUAAUGUCUUCGGACCAAAGAUUUAUCGCCUUUGGAUGGGCCCGCGUUGGAUUAGCUAGUUGGUAGGGUAAAAGCCUACCAAGGCGACGAUCCAUAGCUGGUCUGAGAGGAUGAUCAGCCACACUGGGACUGAGACACGACCCAGACUCCUACGGGAGGCAGCAGUGGGGAAUAUUGGACAAUGGGCGAAAGCCUGAUCCAGCAAUGCCGCGUGAGUGAUGAAGGCCUUAGGGUUGUAAAGCUCUUUUACCCGGGAUGAUAAUGACAGUACCGGGAGAAUAAGCUCCGGCUAACUCCGUG